CUUUUCAUUUCCCCCUUCUCUUUCACUCUCUUCUCUCUCUCUCUCCUCUCUCUACCAUGCUAAGUUCAUCUCACAAAGAAGAGCUUGAGAGAAUCCUGAGGUUACAAUUAAUGCUUGGCAAGAGAAAUUAAGGAGACCCGUAUCUUGGCGGGGCAACCCGGAUCUGAACCUGAGGAAGAGAGCGGAUCAGUGAGUGACUUAAGAUACUACAAGAACUUGUUCCCAAUGGUUCCAAGGUUGAUUUGGUCAUCAUGUUAGAGAAAGCAAUCAGUUACGUCAAGUUUCUUCAAUUGCAAGUGAAGGUGUUGGCAACAGAUGAAUUUUGGCCGACACAGGGUGAAAAAGCUCCAAAUAUUUCUCAAGUAAAAGAUGCCAUUGAUGCCAUCCUUGCCAGUCAACGAGACAGAAACUCAACCUCCAAGUGAUUAUAUAGUACCUAGCUAGAUUAAUCUGUUGAAGAAAAUGAAAGAAUUAAAAGGGUUUCACAAAUAAUUGAAGUAGCGCAGCAAUGGCUUCAAAGGAAAUAGAGUUCCCUUUGGAGAACUAAUAUGGUGGUGAAAAUUUAGCCUUAAUUUGUGCAUUCCGAGCUUCUUUGAUUAACCAUGUAUUAGAAUUCAUCUAAAAGCUAAAAAAAAAAAAAAAAUUCUUUGUUUUAGUUCGUCUUUUUUGUCAUGCACUCAUGCUUUAUCAGUUUGUAAUAUGGGGAUUUUUAGUUCGAAUUAGAAGUACUUUUAAGUUUAUAAUGUUUAAGUGUUUGAAUGAUGUUUAUGAUGUUUAAGUGUUUGAAUGUAGUUUUAAUUUUAAGUACUUUGAGGUUGAAUUUGAUUGUUUAUAAGUGUUUGAAUGGACAAUGUUUAAGUGUUCAAGUGUU
Lycium barbarum (goji berry) is the source of this 871-nucleotide long non-coding RNA. RefSeq lists it as uncharacterized. The transcript is spliced from 4 exons. Lineage: Eukaryota; Viridiplantae; Streptophyta; Magnoliopsida; Solanales; Solanaceae. The record is from RefSeq and is a predicted model, not a curated record.